RNAcentral lists this ribosomal RNA (253 nucleotides) under uncultured bacterium. RNAcentral describes it as "partial 16S ribosomal RNA". It matches the Rfam family "Bacterial small subunit ribosomal RNA", at positions 524 to 776 of the family's 1533-position model. The record is from RNAcentral.
UACGUAGGGACCUAGCGUUGUUCGGAAUUACUGGGCGUAAAGGGCUCGUAGGCGGCCAACUAAGUCAGACGUGAAAUCCCUCGGCUUAACCGGGGAACUGCGUCUGAUACUGGAUGGCUUGAGUUUGGGAGAGGGAUGCGGAAUUCCAGGUGUAGCGGUGAAAUGCGUAGAUAUCUGGAGGAACACCGGUGGCGAAGGCGACCCCCUGGACCAACACUGACGCUGAGGAGCGAAAGCCAGGGGAGCAAACGGG